UUGGCUAAUAUUCCGAGCUCUACAUCUAUCCUUUCUCAGCCAUGUCUCUCCAUAUAACUCUCUUUCCGGCGAACAGAGGAAGAACGGCUCUGCAGUUCUCGGGAAAACGAACGGAUGCGAUUGUUUAUGGUGAACGGCUCGCAGAUUAUCCUCCAGAAAACCUCAAAACGACGUCAUUUUACGGAACUGUAUGCUCAUGAAUAUAUUCAAGACCUCUGGCAGAAUCCAAUGCAAUUUGAACACGGAUAGACCAUGGCAGCGGAUCUCUUCCUGGAAUAAUUAGGACAAUAUUAUUACAUGAUUGCAAUCAAAAUGUAGAGUUUGCAAAAGAACUACCAUAACUUCUGAUCUAACCUGAGUCGCGCAGAUGUUCACUUAAGUUUCCAUUAUCAAUGUAUUCAUAAACAAGGAAAAGAGAGCGCUCAGUGCAAUAUCCAAUUAAGCGCACCUACAUGGUAUUAAUACAUAGUUAUUACUUGAACAUGUAUUCUUAAAAAUUUGGCCAACAAUUCUAGGUAUUUAAAUGAUGAUUUCCUUCCUGCAGAA
This is a long non-coding RNA of Prosopis cineraria, 546 nucleotides long. RefSeq lists it as uncharacterized. The record is from RefSeq and is a predicted model, not a curated record. NCBI's taxonomy places the organism in Eukaryota, Viridiplantae, Streptophyta, Magnoliopsida, Fabales, Fabaceae. The transcript has 2 exons.